GUGGUCUGGGGCAUGGCUCCUGGAUUCUAUUGCCUUCGGGCAGUGGGUCUGUGCCAGGCAGCUUAACCUGGACCUAGAUAAAACCCCAGGAUAGACCAGAUGUCUACCUGUGCAGUAACAGGUGUGAGCACAUCACAGUAUCUUGUGCUCAUGUAUAGUACUGCACACAGCU
This is a non-coding RNA of Pelobates cultripes (western spadefoot toad), 172 nucleotides long. NCBI's taxonomy places the organism in Eukaryota, Metazoa, Chordata, Amphibia, Anura, Pelobatidae. The record is from the annotation of a GenBank genome assembly.